UUUGAUGAGCUCAAAGCAUUUGAGUAUAUCUUAUGUUAUACUAAUAAAUUCAAUCUAGUGUUUCAGGCAAAUAUUUGUGAAUUUAUGUUUAAGUAUCUCUAGCUUUGGUUCGAUAUAUUUUGGCUAAGCAUGGAACUCAGUUUGAACCAAAGUUUGAAGCUCGAGUGGACUCCGGAAGAUUACGAGUCGACUCCAAGUGUUUCAGAAGUUCUGGCACAUGCUCGAGUCGACUCUGGUACACUACGAGUCGACUCCGAU
RNAcentral lists this long non-coding RNA (258 nucleotides) under Phoenix dactylifera (date palm). RNAcentral describes it as "long non-coding RNA (PDAC_LNC013548)". Lineage: Eukaryota; Viridiplantae; Streptophyta; Magnoliopsida; Arecales; Arecaceae. The record is from RNAcentral.